RNAcentral lists this ribosomal RNA (787 nucleotides) under uncultured bacterium. RNAcentral describes it as "bacterial SSU rRNA". It matches the Rfam family "Bacterial small subunit ribosomal RNA", at positions 40 to 825 of the family's 1533-position model. The record is from RNAcentral.
UGGCGCAGCUUACACAUGCAGUCGACGGCAGCACGGGGAGCUUGCUCCCUGGUGGCGAGUGGCGGACGGGUGAGUAACGCGUAGGAAUCUGCCCUGCAGUGGGGGACAACCCGGGGAAACCCGGGCUAAUACCGCAUACGAUUUACGGAUGAAAGUGGGUCCUUCGGGGCACACGCUGUGGGAUGAGCCUGCGUCGGAUUAGCUUGUUGGUGGGGUAAAGGCCUACCAAGGCGACGAUCCGUAGCUGGUCUGAGAGGAUGAUCAGCCACACUGGGACUGAGACACGGCCCAGACUCCUACGGGAGGCAGCAGUGGGGAAUAUUGGACAAUGGGGGCAACCCUGAUCCAGCAAUGCCGCGUGUGUGAAGAAGGCCUGCGGGUUGUAAAGCACUUUCAGUAGGGAAGAGGGCGGCCGAGUAACGAUCGGUCGUUGACGUUACCUACAGAAGAAGCACCGGCUAACUCCGUGCCAGCAGCCGCGGUAAUACGGAGGGUGCGAGCGUUAAUCGGAAUUACUGGGCGUAAAGCGCGUGUAGGCGGUUGAGUGAGUCAGAUGUGAAAGCCCUGGGCUUAACCUGGGAAUGGCAUUUGAUACUGCUUGGCUAGAGUCUGACAGAGGGUGGCGGAAUUCCGGGUGUAGCGGUGAAAUGCGUAGAUAUCCGGAGGAACACCGGUGGCGAAGGCGGCCACCUGGGUCAAGACUGACGCUGAGGUGCGAAAGCGUGGGGAGCGAACAGGAUUAGAUACCCUGGUAGUCCACGCUGUAAACGAUGAGAACUUGGUGUUG